Molecule: ribosomal RNA, 503 nt
Filed under: Sunxiuqinia sp. FOUR-10
Lineage: Bacteria; Pseudomonadati; Bacteroidota; Bacteroidia; Marinilabiliales; Prolixibacteraceae
Description: bacterial SSU rRNA
Rfam family: Bacterial small subunit ribosomal RNA
Source: RNAcentral
GCUACAGAUGACGACCGGCGCACGGGUGAGUAACGCGUAUGCAACCUGCCUUUGACAGGGGGAUAGCCCGGAGAAAUCCGGAUUAAUAUCCCAUGGUAUUUACAGAUCGCAUGGUUUGUAAAUUAAAGAUUUUAUCGGUCAAAGAUGGGCAUGCGUGACAUUAGCUAGUUGGUAAGGUAACGGCUUACCAAGGCUGCGAUGUCUAGGGGUUCUGAGAGGAUGAUCCCCCACACUGGUACUGAGACACGGACCAGACUCCUACGGGAGGCAGCAGUGAGGAAUAUUGGUCAAUGGGCGCAAGCCUGAACCAGCCAUCCCGCGUGAAGGAAGACUGCCCUAUGGGUUGUAAACUUCUUUUCUGCACCAAGAAUGGUUACUACGUGUAGUGAUUUGACGGUAGUGCAGGAAUAAGCAUCGGCUAACUCCGUGCCAGCAGCCGCGGUAAUACGGAGGAUGCAAGCGUUAUCCGGAUUCAUUGGGUUUAAAGGGUACGUAGGUGGCCA